GCCGGCCCGCCCCCAGCUCGCCAGGCUCCAUCCCCGCCGGCUGGGCCCCUGGGUCUCAGGCUGGGACCCGAGGCGUUGUCGUACAACCCGGGUCUCGCAGGAGGGCAGUGGGCAGCUUCUUUUCCCCACCCAGGGUUGUAUCUAAGGAUUUUUUAAAUCAUAGGAACACAAGCACAUACCUUGGCCCAAACGCUCAGACGCUAAGAACAGCAACUCUCUGAGAUCCCCAGCAUCCCAACCCAUCACUCUGGGGGAAUCUUGCUGGGCUUUUACUUACCUUAUUCGUGUGUUCCCUGGCCUGUUAACUGCAUCCAUCUGCAACUGAGGCCUUGCUGAGCAAGAGGGGGACCCACACAGAGGAGG
Long non-coding RNA from Physeter macrocephalus (sperm whale), 363 nucleotides. RefSeq lists it as uncharacterized. The record is from RefSeq and is a predicted model, not a curated record. Lineage: Eukaryota; Metazoa; Chordata; Mammalia; Artiodactyla; Physeteridae. The transcript has 3 exons.